Molecule: transfer RNA, 74 nt
Filed under: Firmicutes bacterium CAG:240
Lineage: Bacteria; Bacillati; Bacillota
Also listed under: 7 other names
Description: transfer RNA-Gln(TTG)
Rfam family: tRNA
About the family: Transfer RNA (tRNA) molecules are approximately 80 nucleotides in length. Their secondary structure includes four short double-helical elements and three loops (D, anti-codon, and T loops).
Source: RNAcentral
UGGGAUGUAGUGUAAUGGUAACACCUCAGACUUUGACUCUGAUAUAGUGGGUUCGAGUCCCGCCAUCCCAGCCA